This 253-nucleotide ribosomal RNA is filed under the name uncultured bacterium. Its description in RNAcentral is "partial 16S ribosomal RNA". It matches the Rfam family "Bacterial small subunit ribosomal RNA", at positions 524 to 776 of the family's 1533-position model. The record is from RNAcentral.
UACGGAGGGUGCAAGCGUUGUUCGGAAUUACUGGGCGUAAAGCGUACGUAGGCGGCGAUUUAAGUCGAAUGUUAAAGCCCGAGGCUCAACCUCGUGGAUGCCUUCGAUACUGGAUUGCUAGAGGGUGAUAGAGGAAAGUGGAAUUCCGAGUGUAGCGGUGAAAUGCGUAGAUAUUCGGAGGAACAUCAGUAGCGAAGGCGACUUUCUGGGUCACACCUGACGCUGAGGUACGAAAGCGUGGGUAGCAAACAGG